ACCGAUAUAGGGUUCGGAGAGGGGCCUGCGUCCGAUUAGCUAGCUGGUGGGGUAACGGCCUACCAGGGCGACGAUCGGUAGCUGGUCUGAGAGGAUGAUCAGCCAGACUGGACUGCGAGACGGCCCAGACUCCUACGGGAGGCAGCAGUUAGGAAUUUUGGGCAAUGGGCGAAAGCCUGACCCAGCAACGCCGCGUGGGCGACGAAGGCCCUCGGGUCGUAAAGCCCUUUUCCAGGGGAAGAUAAUGACGGUACCCUGGGAAUCAGCCCCGGCUAACUACGUGCCAGCAGCCGCGGUAAUACGUAGGGGGCAAGCGUUGUCCGGAUUUAUUGGGCGUAAAGCGCUCGCAGGUGGUUCAUUGCGUCGUGCGUGAAAGACCCUGGCUCAACUGGGGGGAGUCGUGCGAAACGGGUGAACUAGAGGCCAGUAGGGGGAUGUGGAAUUCCGGGUGUAGUGGUGGAAUGCGUAGAGAUCCGGAGGAACACCAGCGGCGAAGGCGGCAUCCUGGACUGGUCCUGACACUCAGGAGCGAAAGCGUGGGGAGCGAUCCGGAUUAGAUACCCGGGUAGUCCACGCUGUAAACGAUGAGUACUAGGUGUUGGGGGUAUCGACCCCCUCAGUGCCGAAGCUAACGCGAUAAGUACUCCGCCUGGGGACUACGGCCGCAAGGCUAAAACUCAAAGGAAUUGACGG
Molecule: ribosomal RNA, 693 nt
Filed under: uncultured bacterium
Lineage: Bacteria
Description: bacterial SSU rRNA
Rfam family: Bacterial small subunit ribosomal RNA
Source: RNAcentral